AACGCGAAGAACCUUACCUGGCCUUGACAUCCUGGGAAUCCUGCAGAGAUGCGGGAGUGCCUUCGGGAACCCAGAGACAGGUGCUGCAUGGCUGUCGUCAGCUCGUGUCGUGAGAUGUUGGGUUAAGUCCCGCAACGAGCGCAACCCUUGUCCUUAGUUGCCAUCAUUUGGUUGGGAACUCUAAGGAGACCGCCGGUGACAAACCGGAGGAAGGUGGGGAUGACGUCAAGUCAUCAUGGCCUUUAUGGCCAGGGCUACACACGUGCUACAAUGGCAGGUACAGAGGGAAGCCAACGCGCGAGCGGGAGCUAAUCCCAGAAAGCCUGUCGUAGUCCGGAUCGGAGUCUGCAACUCGACUCCGUGAAGUCGGAAUCGCUAGUAAUCGCAGAUCAGCAUUGCUGCGGUGAAUACGUUCCCGGGCCUUGUACACACCGACAUA
RNAcentral lists this ribosomal RNA (439 nucleotides) under uncultured bacterium. Its description in RNAcentral is "bacterial SSU rRNA". It matches the Rfam family "Bacterial small subunit ribosomal RNA", at positions 958 to 1397 of the family's 1533-position model. The record is from RNAcentral.